This 471-nucleotide ribosomal RNA is filed under the name Salmonella enterica. RNAcentral's name for it is "partial 23S ribosomal RNA". It matches the Rfam family "Bacterial large subunit ribosomal RNA", at positions 137 to 595 of the family's 2925-position model. The record is from RNAcentral. RNAcentral also lists the same sequence under 2 other names. Lineage: Bacteria; Pseudomonadati; Pseudomonadota; Gammaproteobacteria; Enterobacterales; Enterobacteriaceae.
GACUCGUCACACUAUCAUUAACUGAAUCCAUAGGUUAAUGAGGCGAACCGGGGGAACUGAAACAUCUAAGUACCCCGAGGAAAAGAAAUCAACCGAGAUUCCCCCAGUAGCGGCGAGCGAACGGGGAGGAGCCCAGAGCCUGAAUCAGCAUGUGUGUUAGUGGAAGCGUCUGGAAAGGCGCGCGAUACAGGGUGACAGCCCCGUACACAAAAGCGCAUGUGCUGUGAGCUCGAUGAGUAGGGCGGGACACGUGGUAUCCUGUCUGAAUAUGGGGGGACCAUCCUCCAAGGCUAAAUACUCCUGACUGACCGAUAGUGAACCAGUACCGUGAGGGAAAGGCGAAAAGAACCCCGGCGAGGGGAGUGAAAAAGAACCUGAAACCGUGUACGUACAAGCAGUGGGAGCCCCACCACUAAGCCAGUGGUGAACUCCACAUACGCAUCCUUUGCUGAGGAUACGGUUAACGGAGCG